GCCACUUUAGCUCAGUAGGUAGAGCACAUCCUUGGUAAGGAUGAGGUCGACGGUUCGAUUCCGUUAGGUGGCUCCA
Molecule: transfer RNA, 76 nt
Filed under: Kiritimatiellia bacterium
Lineage: Bacteria; Pseudomonadati; Kiritimatiellota; Kiritimatiellia
Description: Kiritimatiellae bacterium (gut metagenome) tRNA-Thr
Rfam family: tRNA
About the family: Transfer RNA (tRNA) molecules are approximately 80 nucleotides in length. Their secondary structure includes four short double-helical elements and three loops (D, anti-codon, and T loops).
Source: RNAcentral